Long non-coding RNA from Oncorhynchus keta (chum salmon), 1370 nucleotides. RefSeq lists it as uncharacterized. Lineage: Eukaryota; Metazoa; Chordata; Actinopteri; Salmoniformes; Salmonidae. The record is from RefSeq and is a predicted model, not a curated record. The transcript has 3 exons.
GGGGGUGGAGACAAGCACAAGGACAGGUGAAACAGAUCAGGGUGUGAUUAGUACCCUCCCUUAGAGUUAAUUAGUCCUCUCCUCUAGCCCUGUCAGGUACAGUCAUACUCCAAACUGUUCACUGAAGAGAAUUGAAACAGUUGAAUCAAAAUUUUUCAAGUAUUUUUGGAUUUGUGUGGCUGGUGGGUGUACACUGAUUGGACAAAACAUUAGGAACACCCAUGACAUAGACUCACCAGGUGAUUCCAGGUGAAAGCUAUGAUCCCUUAUUGAUGUCACUUGUUAAAUUCACUUCAAUCAGUGUAGAUGAAGGUGAGGAGACAUGUAGAUGAAGGGGAGGAGACAUGUAGAUGAAGGGGAGGAGACAUGUAGAUGAAGGGGAGGAGACAUGUAGAUGAAGGUGAGGAGACAUGUAGAUGAAGGGGAGGAGACAUGUAGAUGAAGGGGAGGAGACAUGUAGAUGAAGGGGAGGAGACAUGUAGAUGAAGGGGAGGAGACAUGUAGAUGAAGGGGAGGAGACAUGUAGAUGAAGGGGAGGAGACAUGUAGAUGAAGGGGAGGAGACAUGUAGAUGAAGGGGAGGAGACAUGUAGAUGAAGGGGAGGAGACAUGUAGAUGAAGGGGAGGAGACAUGUAGAUGAAGGGGAGGAGACAUGUAGAUGGAGAGGAGGAGACAUGUAGAUGAAGGGGAGGAGACAUGUAGAUGAAGGGGAGGAGACAUGUAGAUGAAGGGGAGGAGACAUGUAGAUGAAGGUGUGGAGACAUGUAGAUGAAGGGGAGGAGACAUGUAGAUGAAGGGGAGGAGAUGGGAUAAAGAAUGAUUUUUAAAAGCCUUAAAACAAUUGAGACAUGGAUUGUGUAUGUGUGUAAUUCAGAGGGUAAAUGAGAAAGACAAAAUAUUUAAGUGCCUUUGAAUGGGGUAUGUGUCAGGUGCACCAGUUUGUGUCAAGAACUGCAACGCUACUGGGUUUUUCACGCUCAACAUUUUCAAUCAAUCAAUCAAUCAAUCAAUUAAUUAAUUAAUCAAAUGUAUUUAUAUAGCCCUUCUUACAUCAACUGAUAUCUCAAAGUGCUGUACAGAAACCCAGCCUAAAACCCCAAACAGCAAGCAAUGCAGAUGUAGAAGCACGGUGGCAAGGAAAAACUCACUAGAAAGGCCAAAACCUAGGAAGAAACCUAGAGAGGAACCAGGCUCUGAGGUGUGGUCAGUCCUCUUCUGGCUGUGCCGGGUGGAGAUUAUAAUUGUACAUGGACAUUAAGGUCAGAUUGUUUCUUCAAGAUUUUCAAACGUUCAUAGAAGACCAACAGGGUCAAAUAAUAAUCAGUGGUUGUAGAGGGUGCAAGAGGGCAGCACCUUGGGAGUUAAUGUAA